AUUGAACGCUGGCGGCAUGCCUUACACAUGCAAGUCGAACGGUAACAGGGAGCUUGCUCCGCUGACGAGUGGCGAACGGGUGAGUAAUGUAUCGGAACGUACCUUUCAGUGGGGGAUAACGUAGCGAAAGUUACGCUAAUACCGCAUAUUCUGUGUGCAGGAAAGCAGGGGACCUUCGGGCCUUGCGCUGAUUGAGCGGCUGAUAUCAGAUUAGCUAGUUGGUGAGGUAAAGGCUCACCAAGGCGACGAUCUGUAGCGGGUCUGAGAGGAUGAUCCGCCACACUGGAACUGGGACACGGUCCAGACUCCUACGGGAGGCAGCAGUGGGGAAUUUUGGACAAUGGGAGCAACCCUGAUCCAGCCAUGCCGCGUGAGUGAAGAAGGCCUUCGGGUUGUAAAGCUCUUUCGGCCGGGAAAAAAUCGCAUGGGCUAAUACCCUGUGUGGAUGAUGGUACCGGAAUAAGAAGCACCGGCUAACUACGUGCCAGCCGCCGCAGUAA
RNAcentral lists this ribosomal RNA (500 nucleotides) under uncultured bacterium. Its description in RNAcentral is "partial 16S ribosomal RNA". It matches the Rfam family "Bacterial small subunit ribosomal RNA", at positions 30 to 523 of the family's 1533-position model. The record is from RNAcentral.